Orcinus orca (killer whale) is the source of this 419-nucleotide long non-coding RNA. RefSeq lists it as uncharacterized. Lineage: Eukaryota; Metazoa; Chordata; Mammalia; Artiodactyla; Delphinidae. The record is from RefSeq and is a predicted model, not a curated record. The transcript is spliced from 4 exons.
CACGAGCUCAGGCUCUGCCUUUGAAAUAUGGAAUCCUAACAAUGCCUGCCACAUAGCAGGAAAAAGGAGCAUCUUGCCCAAGUUGUCCCAGCCACCAACUUGGGACCAUGAGAGGAGCCAGACUGAGAACAAAAUUGACAGAGAGAGAAGGGCUGAAGCCAAAGAGUGGUAAGAAAAACGUCAGAAAGUGACACACUGUACCUUCAUCCCUGACUACUGGUUACACAAGAUGCUUUAAAAUCCCUCUAAACCCCACAAGGCACACCAGAGAGAGAAUUCAAGGAAGAGCAAAAACAAAAUCUGGUAUUCUCUGGAGGUUUUGCAUGUUACACUAAGUUCUCCCGGCACCCCACUGAAAGUGUUUAUUCUUUACAAAUGUUUGUUAUCCAUGAUGGAUCUCGAUGAAAGGAAGAAAAAGG